Sapajus apella (tufted capuchin) is the source of this 1649-nucleotide RNA transcript. It is a transcript of the gene named WD repeat-containing protein 1 pseudogene, with no coding region annotated. The record is from RefSeq and is a predicted model, not a curated record. NCBI's taxonomy places the organism in Eukaryota, Metazoa, Chordata, Mammalia, Primates, Cebidae. The transcript has a single exon.
GCUUUAAAUAUGUUCAUUAUUUAAGAAAGGCAUUCUUUGAGAGACCCCCGCCCCCCAUUCAAAUUCAAGUUCACAAUUGUUCAGCUUUGUCAACUGUGUGCAAUUCUUUCCUGAUGGGAACAGAUUUGCCACAGCCAGUGCUGACGGCCAGAUACACAUGUAUGACGGUAAGACCGGGGAGAAGGUGUGAAUGCUGGGCAGAAGCAAGGCCCACGACAGCGGGAUUUAUGUCAUUAGUUUGGAGUCCGGACAGCACCCAUUGCUUUCUGCUUCUGGGGACAAAACUUCCAAGAUUUGGGAUGCCAACGUGAACUUGGUGGUCAGCACAAUUCCCAUGGGCUCCACGGUUCUGGACCAGCAGCUGGGCUGCCUGUGGAAGAAGGACCACCUGCUCAGUGUCUCCCCGUUCGGGUACAUCAACUAUUUGGACAGAAACAACCCCAGCAAGCCCCUGCGCGUCAUCAAGGGCCACAGUAAAUCGAUCCAGUGUCUGACGGUGCAUAAAAACGGAGGCAAGUCCUACACUUACUACCGGAGCCACGACGGACACAUUAAUUCCUGGGAUUCGGAGACAGGGGAGAAGGACUCUUUCGCUGGGAAGGGCCACACGAACCAGGUGUCCAGAUGGACCAUGGCGGAGCCACCAUGGGUGGCUCAUCAGCUGCUGCAUAGACGACACCGUGCGGUACACCAGCCUCACGCCGCGGGACUACAGUGGACAAGGAGUGGUGAAACUGGACGUUCAGCCAAAGUGCGCAGCCUUCGGCCCCGGGGUAUACGCCAUGGUCGGGUGCAUCCGGCAGAGAGUCCUGCUGGAGACUCAGAGGAAGUGCUUCAGCAAUCACAACCCCGGCUCCCAGCCCGGAGCUGUGGCCGCGCACCCCGGCGGAGGGGGGGCGCGCACGCACUUCCGCCCGCCCGUACUCCAUCUUGGGCACCAGGCUGAAGGACGAGGGCGAGCUCCGAGAGGCCAAGGGCCGGGUGACCGAGGUGGCCUCCUCCCACGACGGCGCUUUCCUCGCGGUGUGCGACGCCAGCAAGCUGGUCACGGUGUUCAACGUUGCCAGCGGCUACUCGAGAACAGUGUUUUUGAUGGACACCAUGCAAAAAUCGUCUGCCUGGCCUGGUCCCCAAACGAUGAACACUUUGGCCCCAGUGGCGGGGACAGGAUGGUGUACAUCUGGACCCUGAGUGACCCGGAAACCAGAGUCAAGAUCCAAGGCGCACAUCGGCUGCACUAUGUCAGCAGCCUGGCCUGGCAUGGCUGGACGAGCGCACGCUGGGCACGACCUCCCACGUUGCCUCUGUUAAGGAGUGGACAAUCACCUACUGAGGAGCCCCACCCCCGCCUCUGGACUGACCGAAUCAGGGACGAGAGUUGAACUGCAGUGGAACAUGUCAUUUCUCUAUUUCUGUGAUGCGCCUCUUUGCCCCCGCCCCACCGCAAGAGGCAGGAGGGCCCCGUCAUGAUCCUUGUCUCUGCGGGGUGUCUGUACACGUUCUUCUGAAAGCUUUAGACAGAAACGGAUUGCACAUGAGAAAUAAAGCGAGCACUUAAACAAUGUGUGGAGCGUUACUAAACCCAAAGCCCAACCAAACCUUGAGAAUGCGGAACAUUCCAGAGGAAUGUUUGGAGUAGCCUCCAAAGC